Selaginella moellendorffii is the source of this 1469-nucleotide RNA transcript. It is a transcript of the gene named TPD1 protein homolog 1, with no coding region annotated. NCBI's taxonomy places the organism in Eukaryota, Viridiplantae, Streptophyta, Lycopodiopsida, Selaginellales, Selaginellaceae. The record is from RefSeq and is a predicted model, not a curated record. The transcript has 6 exons.
UCCAAGGCCUCCCGUCCGGUCUGGUGGUGGUCCUUCGUUUUUCUUUACACUACUAAUACUUAAGCUACAUGGCUUCGGUGUUCUCUAGAGAAACUAAAUAUGUACAAGGAAGGCCAGAGUCUUCAAGGGCGUCGUAUUCUUUGUCGUGCUCCAUUGCUGCUCCUGGUACACAUCAGUUACUGUAUGGUAUUUGUCUGAGUACUGGAAAUGUGAAACCGAUAAAAGGAAGGAGGCUCGGGCGGAGGAAGCAUUCCAUGCUCCAGAGGCUCACCACUCACGCGCUCACCACCACAGGAUCAGAGGAGCUGAAUACAUUAUUUUAUUCAGCUUGGUGGCCUGUUCAACGUCUUUAUGGAUGGAGCUGUCCUUCCUCAGGCACUUCAAGGAGUCGCUUUCUAUCUGCCAGCGAACAUCAAGCCUUAUGAAAUCUCAAGCUGCAUUUUCUGAUGGAUCUGGCUGGAUUUGGUAUAUGCAACAACGUCCUCUGGCCAAUGAUGUAACUGUUGCUUCAGGAUUUACAUUUACAGCGGACUGUUGUUUGUGUCUCUACUGGCUCCUUGACGCAUUCUCGCCUUUCUUCCUUGCGAGCUGAGAAUGUUGUCAGCCCAGGCGAUGACGAUGGUAAAUCCUCUUAAGUUUGGGCUCGUAUUUUCAGGACGUGAGUGUUACUGAUGCCCGUUGGCUACAGUAUAUUGACAACUUUUUACCGUGAUUGAGAGAAUGCAUGGCCGUAGCGAAGAAGAAAAGUUUCAUGACUACCAAUUCUUCGCGGUGAAAAAGAUUUUUUCUUUUUCUUCUUCCUUUGUUUACUGCUGACUUCCUUUGCGUGUGUUUUCAGGAUCCUUGUUCAUUUCUCGUGUCCAUCAGACGCGCUCACCGCUUUCGCCAUUUCCCGCGCAGCACAAGCAUUGUUUUAAAACUCCAAAGCUUCGAGAGUAGUCGCGGGCGCCGCGUGUCUACCAAAGACAAGCAAGAGAACAUCGAAUGUCUAGAAACUCCAUCAACGCGAGGCGAGAGGGGGAGAGCGAGAGAGCGGCCGUGUUGAUCCAACAAGAGCAAGCAAAAAAAGAUAAGUAUAACAGGAAGAAGAAAAGCUCAAACAAGAAGACGAGUAGUAGGCGUUACGUGAAAUCGACGUUGACAUGAAAAGACGACGACAAGCAAGCCGGAUGAGACAUCAAUUCGCAUGGCGAGAUUUUUAUAAGUUUCAAGGCGCCAUGGAUUGCUACAACUUUUUUUAUGCGGGUCGAUCGAGAUCGAGAGCUGGAUUGGAUGUUGGGGGAGAGUACACUUCUUCGUUUUGUUGGAGAACGAAGAAAUCGUCUCUAAGAAGUCGGACUGGUCUUCGCAAAUGAUUUCAGGGACGGUUUGUUUAAGCUAUUGAAGAGAUCAAUGCAUAGAUUCUCAAAGAGAGAGGCAAACGGAAUUAUUUGCAGUUUAGAUUAAGAUGAUAACUAAAACUGUUUCUA